RNAcentral lists this ribosomal RNA (644 nucleotides) under uncultured bacterium. RNAcentral describes it as "bacterial SSU rRNA". It matches the Rfam family "Bacterial small subunit ribosomal RNA", at positions 144 to 803 of the family's 1533-position model. The record is from RNAcentral.
UAACAGUGAGAAAUCAUUGCUAAUACCGCAUAUGCCAUGAACAUCACAUGAUGAAAAUGGGAAAAGAGUAAUCUGCUAGUAGAUGGGCUCGCGUCUGAUUAGAUAGUUGGUGGGGUAACGGCCUACCAAGUCGACGAUCAGUAGCCGGACUGAGAGGUUGAACGGCCACAUUGGGACUGAGAUACGGCCCAGACUCCUACGGGAGGCAGCAGUCGGGAAUAUUGCGCAAUGGAGGAAACUCUGACGCAGUGACGCCGCGUAUAGGAAGAAGGUUUUCGGAUUGUAAACUAUUGUCGUUAGGGAAGAUACAAGACAGUACCUAAGGAGGAAGCUCCGGCUAACUACGUGCCAGCAGCCGCGGUAAUACGUAGGGAGCAAGCGUUAUCCGGAUUUAUUGGGUGUAAAGGGUGCGUAGACGGGACAACAAGUUAGUUGUGAAAUCCCUCGGCUUAACUGAGGAACUGCAACUAAAACUAUUGUUCUUGAGUGUUGGAGAGGAAAGUGGAAUUCCUAGUGUAGCGGUGAAAUGCGUAGAUAUUAGGAGGAACACCGGUGGCGAAGGCGACUUUCUGGACAAUAACUGACGUUGAGGCACGAAAGUGUGGGGAGCAAACAGGAUUAGAUACCCUGGUAGUCCACACCGU